CCUACGGGAGGCAGCAGUGGGGAAUAUUGGGCAAUGGGCGCAAGCCUGACCCAGCAAAGCCGCGUGAAGGAAGAAGGCUUUCGGGUUGUAAACUUCUUUUCUCAGGGACGAAGAAAGUGACGGUACCUGAGGAAUCAGCCACGGCUAACUACGUGCCAGCAGACGCGGUAAUACGUAGUUGGAAAGCGUUAUACGGAGUUAUUGGAGGUAAAGGGCGUGUAGGCGGGAGCGCAAGUCGGAUGUGAAAACUCAGGGCUCAACCCUGAGCCUGCAUUUUAUACUGUGUUUAUUGAGUGCUGGAGAGGCAAUCGGAAUUCCGUGUGUAGCGGUGAAAUGCGUAGAUAUACGGAGGAACACCAGUGGCGAAGGCGGAUUGCUGGACAGUAACUGACGCUGAGGCGCGAAAGCGUGGGGAGCAAACAGGAUUAGAUACCCGGGUAGUC
This 443-nucleotide ribosomal RNA is filed under the name uncultured bacterium. RNAcentral describes it as "partial 16S ribosomal RNA". It matches the Rfam family "Bacterial small subunit ribosomal RNA", at positions 338 to 795 of the family's 1533-position model. The record is from RNAcentral.